This 465-nucleotide ribosomal RNA is filed under the name uncultured bacterium. Its description in RNAcentral is "partial 16S ribosomal RNA". It matches the Rfam family "Bacterial small subunit ribosomal RNA", at positions 28 to 507 of the family's 1533-position model. The record is from RNAcentral.
GACGAACGCUGGCGGCGUGCUUAACACAUGCAAGUCGAACGGAAAGGCCCUGCUUGCAGGGUACUCGAGUGGCGAACGGGUGAGUAACACGUGGGUGAUCUGCCCUGCACUUCGGGAUAAGCCUGGUAAACUGGGUCUAAUACCGGAUAUGACCUUCCCUGUAGUGUGGGGGGUGGAAAGAUUUAUCGGUGUGGGAUGAGCCCGCGGCCUAUCAGCUUGUUGGUGGGGUAAUGGCCUACCAAGGCGUCGACGGGUAGCCGGCCUGAGAGGGUGGACGGCCACAUUGGGACUGAGAUACGGCCCAGACUCCUACGGGAGGCAGCAGUGGGGAAUAUUGCACAAUGGGCGGAAGCCUUAUGCAGCGACGCCGCGUGGGGGAUGACGGCCUUCGGGUUGUAAACCUCUUUCGACAGGGACGAAGCUUCGGUGACGGUACCUGUAUAAGAAGCACCGGCUAACUACGUG